RNAcentral lists this ribosomal RNA (423 nucleotides) under uncultured bacterium. RNAcentral describes it as "bacterial SSU rRNA". It matches the Rfam family "Bacterial small subunit ribosomal RNA", at positions 360 to 775 of the family's 1533-position model. The record is from RNAcentral.
AAUCUUCCACAAUGGGCGCAAGCCUGAUGCAGCCAUGCCGCGUGUAUGAAGAAGGCCUUCGGGUUGUAAAGUACUUUCAGCGGGGAGGAAGGGAAAAUGGUUAAUAACCAUUUUCAUUGACGUUACCCGCAGAAGAAGCACCGGCUAACUCCGUGCCAGCAGCCGCGGUAAUACGGAGGGUGCAAGCGUUAAUCGGAAUUACUGGGCGUAAAGCGCACGCAGGCGGUCUGUCAAGUCGGAUGUGAAAUCCCCGGGCUCAACCUGGGAACUGCAUUCGAAACUGGCAGGCUUGAGUCUUGUAGAGGGGGGUAGAAUUCCAGGUGUAGCGGUGAAAUGCGUAGAGAUCUGGAGGAAUACCGGUGGCGAAGGCGGCCCCCUGGACAAAGACUGACGCUCAGGUGCGAAAGCGUGGGGAGCAAACAG